GCCCAGCUACCGGCCGGGCAGUUUAAUUCACCAGAGGGAGUAAUACAUAUUCAUAGUGUAGGCAAGGACUGCUCCACAGUAUACACCUGAAAGGAAAUUGUACCACCCCUGAUUGCACCAAACGAGGAACACCUCACUGCAAAUUCUAACAUCCAGUGACCCCUCAUCAAGAGACAGCUCCUCGGAACAUCAUCGCCUGAGAGUCUGUGAGGAUGGGAAUACUGGGCAUGCUCUCUAUUAUUGAUGAAAAGGGAUCCUAUGUGGAGAAAAUCUUCGGAACGAUAGCCAACAAAUCCUUCUGAAAUCUCAAAGAAAAGCUUUGUACUGUUGAUGAAGUAAGCUUGACAGUGAGCAACAGAACAACUUCUGCAUCCAGUACCAUGAAAGGCCAUAGUGUUCUACAGAACCAGAAACUGGAGGAUGAAGACCGAAUCAGCAUCUAGAUUGGCCAUACUAUCUUCCUGCCCAUGAUUUUCUCAGUACUAGAGACUUGAAUCCUCAGAACUCCACUGGGCUACAUGCAUCACUUUCUAUAUUAUUGCACUGAAAACUAUUUUUGGAAAUCACUUAGAGCAUUUAACAGAAUUUGUUUGAAUCUUCUGCUUUUGUACAGAAAUGAGAAUUCUUUUCAAAGAUCUUGAACAUCACCAUUAACCAGCAGAGAAAUCCAGAGGGCUGCUCAUAAGAGUAUGGAUUUAGCCUUGAGUAAGAACUCAGGUUCCAACUCAUUCCAUUCGAGGGCUCCUUUCCACCUUCCACUUAUCCAUAGGUCAGAAAAGCUUAUUAUAUGACAUUCCUUCUGUUCAUCUAUUUUACCAUAUGAUAUCAGUUACAAAUAUUUUUCACUUACAAUAAUUUUAUGCUGUAUAUUACACACUUUAUUGUUUUAAUAAAUGUCAUUCAAUAAUUUCAUAUCUUAGAUUUGUUCAUAGUUGUCCCUAGUCUUUGGAGGAUGCCAUCUGGCAGUCUUCUCCUCUAUAUCAGUUACUCGGGGACCUGCAGUUAUGUGGCAGAGUCAUUAGAAUCAAAUUAUUAGUCUUUUAUUCUGAACUCCUAUCACAUGAAGGGAUUUCUGAAACUGUAUUCAUCCAUCAUCCCUUCAAGUUCCAUACUUAGUUUAGUAGCUUUGACAAUACUGUUUACAAAGUAAUAUCCUGGUAUUCUUAACUGAGUCAAUCUUCAUGCUGGAAUGAGUUGAUAAGGGAAGUAUUUCCAGGCUGUAAGCUCAAAGCUUCAAAUUGUUAGGAGGAUCACCUGUUUUGUUAGUAUCUCCAGCCUCCUUACUACUUCAAGUAAGUGGAAUUUAAUAGUUUUUGAGAUAUUAUCACUAAUUCACAGAAUUUACCCUGAGAUUCCCAUAGAUCUCACUGUUGGCAGAUACCUUUUACCCCUUUGAAAAUGGUAACCACACAAGCAUGAAGAUAAAUGGAGCUAAUGGAGCCUAUGAAUCUGAAAAGUAUAAAACAGACAGCUCAGAGGUUGAACAAGGAGCCCAUGACUCUGGAGACACAAACACAAAGAAAGAGAAACACCUGACCCUUCUGAUUAAUCCACUUUCGCAGCAGCAUAGAUUGUAGAGUCACUGUCUUCAACAACAGGGAGGGUUCAUUCACUGUUUCCAACCACAGGAAAUGCUGCAGAAUAAUCAGGCCUUUGAAAUCUCUAGCUAUUCCAAAAUAUUCUCAGAAGGUGAGCCUUGAAUUGUUCAAUCAUGAUGCUCAUUAUCAUCACCCUGAUCAAAAUCAUCAGCAUCAACAUCAUCAAAAUCAUCAUCAUUGUCAUCAUCAUCAUCAUCAGUAUCAUCACCGCCAUCACCCUCAUCGCCAUCAUCAUCAUCAUCACCCUCUUCACCCUCAGGACCAUCAUCCUCAGGACCAUCAUCAUCAUCUACAGUCACCUUGUGUCACGCAGCAGAUGGGCAUUUAGUUCUUCCAGUGAUUAGAUCUUCUCUGAGCCGUUAGUUCCAUCGGUAAGCACUUUACACAGAUCUUUUCCAUUAGCGAGUUUUUAAACCAAGUUUUGUAGAUAGGAAAAUUAACUUUAUUGAGGCAUCAGUAACAGAAUCUUCAACACAAUUGUAUUUUAAAG
Molecule: long non-coding RNA, 2088 nt
Organism: Arvicola amphibius (Eurasian water vole)
Lineage: Eukaryota; Metazoa; Chordata; Mammalia; Rodentia; Cricetidae
Exons: 3
Source: RefSeq, a predicted model, not a curated record